RNAcentral lists this transfer RNA (63 nucleotides) under Spirobranchus giganteus. RNAcentral's name for it is "tRNA-Gln". Lineage: Eukaryota; Metazoa; Annelida; Polychaeta; Sabellida; Serpulidae. The record is from RNAcentral.
UGGCUAGUAGCAUAAAAAGUGCUUCUUUUUUUGGUGGAGAAAGUGGAUAAAAUCCCUAGCUAA